This 491-nucleotide ribosomal RNA is filed under the name Vibrio sp. RNAcentral's name for it is "bacterial SSU rRNA". It matches the Rfam family "Bacterial small subunit ribosomal RNA", at positions 378 to 862 of the family's 1533-position model. The record is from RNAcentral. Lineage: Bacteria; Pseudomonadati; Pseudomonadota; Gammaproteobacteria; Vibrionales; Vibrionaceae.
CCACCUAUAUGCACCAUGCCGCGUGUAUGAAGAAGGCCUUCGGGUUGUAAAGUACUUCCAGCAGUGAGGAAGGUGGUAGUGUUAAUAGCACUAUCAUUUGACGUUAGCUGCAGAAGAAGCACCGGCUAACUCCGUGCCAGCAGCCGCGGUAAUACGGAGGGUGCGAGCGUUAAUCGGAAUUACUGGGCGUAAAGCGCAUGCAGGUGGUUUGUUAAGUCAGAUGUGAAAGCCCGGGGCUCAACCUCGGAAUAGCAUUUGAAACUGGCAGACUAGAGUACUGUAGAGGGGGGUAGAAUUUCAGGUGUAGCGGUGAAAUGCGUAGAGAUCUGAAGGAAUACCGGUGGCGAAGGCGGCCCCCUGGACAGAUACUGACACUCAGAUGCGAAAGCGUGGGGAGCAAACAGGAUUAGAUACCCUGGUAGUCCACGCCGUAAACGAUGUCUACUUGGAGGUUGUGGCCUUGAGCCGUGGCUUUCGGAGCUAACGCGUUA